This is a non-coding RNA of Paramuricea clavata, 726 nucleotides long. The record is from the annotation of a GenBank genome assembly. Lineage: Eukaryota; Metazoa; Cnidaria; Anthozoa; Malacalcyonacea; Plexauridae.
CCAGAGCCAUUUUCACUCGGUCACUCGUUGAAAACUAGGCUCUGAUUAGAUGACUAAAGGGAAAGAUCUGAUUGGCUUCUCAGAGAACUGCUAUUUCCCAGAAGUUGAGCAGUUUUGCUAGCCAAAAUUAUUCUACAUCCUCUCCUCGUUCCCAGGGCCUUACGGUCGCGCGCGACCUUCAUAGGCCCUGGGAUGCGGAAGAAGUUAUUUGACUGAGAAUCUCAGAAUGACAUUUUUCUCCAAGAUUGAUUUAGAAACAGAGUAGGAGUAGGAGUAGGUUAGGGUUAGGGCAAGGAUUAGUGUUUGGAACAAAGUUAGUGUUAGUAAAACCGUUGCUUUGUUAGGUUUUGUCACUCUGAGGCCAGCGAAAUAACCUCUUCCCUGGGAUACACGGAACUGGAAGUGCAAGAAAACGUGCAGUAGUGUCUAAAGCGCAUGCUCUUGAAUUGGGACGCUUCAGCACCCUAACAAUUUUUACAGACAAGUAUUACGAAGAAACGAAGUAUUUGUGUUGACAUAUUUUGAUAGCCCUCUGCGAAAUAUCAGUUCUCUGAGAAGCCAAUCAGACCUCUCCCUUUAGUCGUCUAACCCAGAGCCCAAUUUUCAACGAGUGACUGUAUAGCCCCUGCCAGAUGGGCCCCUGCCAGAGGGGCUAUACAGUUGUAUUUCGCAGCAGCUCCUGGUUAGGUGUAAAAUUGUAUAUAAUACACCUUUUCGAUAAUUACG